Non-coding RNA from Vicia faba (fava bean), 342 nucleotides. Lineage: Eukaryota; Viridiplantae; Streptophyta; Magnoliopsida; Fabales; Fabaceae. The record is from the annotation of a GenBank genome assembly.
AUGAAGAGAGUGCUACUGCAUGAAGAAAUGCUCAACAACGGAGGAAGGCUUCAGCCGGAAGACGCGAGGCAAACAUCAGAGUCAGGAAGCUGCGAUAUCAGCCGCGGAAGUAGUGUUGGACGGUGUCGAAAUUUGUUGAAGUCAGAAGUUGAGCGGAUUGUUAUUGAUGCGGACUGGAGAAGAAUUGACGUUGGGAGUUUGUGUAGCAUAACACUCGCGUGCGUAAGCCGCUACUUUUGGCGGAAGGAUGAAAGUUUUACGGGUUCUAUAGAUGAAUUAAUGAUGAAGCUGGAGGAAGUAGACGGAAGGUGGGUGAGUUCGACGAAGGUUCAUGGAUGGUAG